GGGGAUUUAGCUGAGUGGCAUAAGUGUCUGCCUGGCAAGCACAAGGAUAUGAGUACAAUCCCUG
RNAcentral lists this transfer RNA (64 nucleotides) under Cavia porcellus (domestic guinea pig). It matches the Rfam family "tRNA". From Rfam's summary of the family: Transfer RNA (tRNA) molecules are approximately 80 nucleotides in length. Lineage: Eukaryota; Metazoa; Chordata; Mammalia; Rodentia; Caviidae. The record is from Rfam by way of RNAcentral.